RNAcentral lists this ribosomal RNA (192 nucleotides) under Triticum aestivum (bread wheat). RNAcentral's name for it is "partial small subunit ribosomal RNA". The record is from RNAcentral. Lineage: Eukaryota; Viridiplantae; Streptophyta; Magnoliopsida; Poales; Poaceae.
AUGCACAUCGGCGGGUCAAUCCUCAUGAUAGAGAGUAUUGCAGAAGGGACGCUCCAGAUGCCGUCACCGCAGAUCAAACCCGAAGCAACCGCGCCUGCAAAGUCCUCCGACUCCUUGCGGUUAAUCUUCUCCCAGACAAACAGGAUGACCGUCCCAACAAACAUGUCAAUCGCAAAAUACGCUCCAAUGUAG